RNAcentral lists this ribosomal RNA (841 nucleotides) under Monacha comata. RNAcentral's name for it is "partial 16S ribosomal RNA". The record is from RNAcentral. Lineage: Eukaryota; Metazoa; Mollusca; Gastropoda; Stylommatophora; Hygromiidae.
AUUAUCUAUAAUAAUAUAAGAUUAUAAUUUACGAAACUAGGCGAGCUAAAUUUACAUAGAUCUUAGUAUAUAAUAUAUAACGUAGUAUAGUUAUCUUAAUAAGUAAAUUUAGGGGUGAUAGACCUAUCAAGUCUAGUGAUAUCUUAUUAUAUAGGAAAUAUAUUUAGUAUAUUAGCCAAAUAGGAAAUGGUGAGGUUUCCUAAAAAUAUUAUAUAAGUUAUAUAUAUAAUGGUCUUUGUAAAAAAAACCAUUUUUAUAAAUAAUAAUACUUAUUACUAUGAAGUUAUAUUUCUUACUUUAUUGUUUAUUUAAAUUCUAAUAUAAAUUAAAAAUGAUAAUAUUAGUAUAUAUAUAAAAAAAACUAAGGAACUCGGCAAAAAGUUUUCUCGACUGUUUAUCAAAAACAUUGCUUUAAGAAUAUAUUUAAAGUUACCCCUGCUCAAUGGUUUAAUUAAAUAGCCGCAGUACCUUGACUGUGCAAAGGUAGCAUAAUCAAUUGGCUUAUAAUUGAAGUCUAGUAUGAAUGGGAACCCGGGGAAUAUCUGUCUCAGAAGAUAUAUAAGAACUUUCUUAAUAAGUGAAAAUUCUUAUUUGUAGAAAAAAGACGAGAAGACCCUAGAAAUUUUUAUAUAAAUUUUUGUUGGGGCGACACGAUAACAAAUAACUUAUCAGAAAAAUAUAAGAAUCUGCUUAGCUGGAAAAACAAAUUACUCUAGGGAUAACAGCAUAAUAUCUUUGAAGAUUGUGACCUCGAUGUUGGACUAGGGAGGGGAGUACUUAAAAGGUAUUCUUCCAAGCUCUGUUCGAGCUAGUAUCCCUACAUGAUCUGAGUUCAGACCGG